This 467-nucleotide ribosomal RNA is filed under the name uncultured bacterium. RNAcentral's name for it is "partial 16S ribosomal RNA". It matches the Rfam family "Bacterial small subunit ribosomal RNA", at positions 28 to 523 of the family's 1533-position model. The record is from RNAcentral.
GACGAACGCUGGCGGCGUGCUUAACACAUGCAAGUCGAGCGGGAAACUUCGGUUUCCAGCGGCGGACGGGUGAGUAACACGUGGGCGACCUGCCUCACAAUGAGGGAUAGCCCUCCGAAAGGAGGAUUAAUACCUCAUAACACAAGAGAAACGCAUGUUUCUCUUGCCAAAGAAUUUCGUUGUGAGAUGGGCCCGCGGCGCAUUAGCUUGUUGGUGAGGUAACGGCUCACCAAGGCUUCGAUGCGUAGCCGACCUGAGGGGGUGAUCGGCCACAUUGGAACUGAGACACGGUCCAGACUCCUACGGGAGGCAGCAGUGGGGAAUAUUGCACAAUGGAGGAAACUCUGAUGCAGCAACGCCGCGUGAGUGAUGAAGGUCUUCGGAUUGUAAAGCUCUGUCUUCUGGGACGAUAAUGACGGUACCAGAGGAGGAAGCCACGGCUAACUACGUGCCAGCAGCCGCGGUAA